AGUGAACGCUGGCGGUAGGCCUAACACAUGCAAGUCGAACGGCAGCACAGUAAGAGCUUGCUCUUACGGGGGGCGAAUGGCGGGCGGGUGAGGAAUGCAUCGGGAUCUACUUUUUCGUGGAGGAUCACGUAAGUAGACUUACGCUCAUACCACAUACGACCUACGGGUGAAAGCAGGGGAUCUUCGGGCCUUGCGCGGUUGAAUGAGCCGCUGUCGGGUUAGCUAGUUGGCGGGGUAAAGGCCCACCCAGGCGACGAUCCGUAGCUGGUCUGAGAGGAUGAUCAGCCACACUGGAACUGAGACACGGUCCAGAGUCCUACGGGAGGCAGCAGUGGGGUAUAUUGGACAGUGGGCGGAAGUCUGAUACAGUCAGACCGAGUGGGUUAAGGAGGCCUUCGGGUUGUAAAGCCGUCUUGUUGGGUAAGAACCGCAGCCGGCUAAGACCACGCUGGUCUGACGGUAAUGAAAGAAUAAGCACCGGCUAACUUCGUG
This 492-nucleotide ribosomal RNA is filed under the name uncultured bacterium. Its description in RNAcentral is "partial 16S ribosomal RNA". It matches the Rfam family "Bacterial small subunit ribosomal RNA", at positions 29 to 507 of the family's 1533-position model. The record is from RNAcentral.